AGAACCUUACAGGUCUUGACAUCCGAUGCUAUUUCUAGAGAUAGAAAGUUACUUGGUACAUCGGUGACAGGUGGUGCAUGGUUGUCGUCAGCUCGUGUCGUGAGAUGUUGGGUUAAGUCCCGCAACGAGCGCAACCCCUAUUGUUAGUUGCCAUCAUUCAGUUGGGCACUCUAGCGAGACUGCCGGUAAUAAACCGGAGGAAGGUGGGGAUGACGUCAAAUCAUCAUGCCCCUUAUGACCUGGGCUACACACGUGCUACAAUGGUUGGUACAACGAGUUGCGAGUCGGUGACGGCGAGCUAAUCUCUUAAAGCCAAUCUCAGUUCGGAUUGUAGGCUGCAACUCGCCUACAUGAAGUCGGAAUCGCUAGUAAUCGCGGAUCAGCACGCCGCGGUCGAAUACGUUCCCGGGCCUU
Molecule: ribosomal RNA, 414 nt
Filed under: uncultured Streptococcus sp.
Lineage: Bacteria; Bacillati; Bacillota; Bacilli; Lactobacillales; Streptococcaceae
Description: bacterial SSU rRNA
Rfam family: Bacterial small subunit ribosomal RNA
Source: RNAcentral